UACAGAGGUCUCAAGCGUUGUUCGGCUUCAUUGGGCGUAAAGGGCGCGUAGGCGGCGGGGUCAGUCGGGUGUGAAAUCUUGGGGCUUAACCCCGAAACGGCACUCGAAACUGCCCGGCUGGAGGGCCGGAGAGGAGAUCGGAAUUCACGGUGUAGCAGUGAAAUGCGUAGAGAUCGUGAGGAAGACCCGUGGCGAAGGCGGGUCCCUGGACAGUUCCUGACACUGAGGCACGAAGGCCAGGGGAGCAAACGGG
Molecule: ribosomal RNA, 253 nt
Filed under: uncultured bacterium
Lineage: Bacteria
Description: partial 16S ribosomal RNA
Rfam family: Bacterial small subunit ribosomal RNA
Source: RNAcentral